GAAAUGCGAUAAGUAGUGUGAAUUGCAGAAUUCAGUGAAUCAUCGAAUCUUUGAACGCACAUUGCGCCCCUUGGUAUUCCAUGGGGCAUGCCUGUUCGAGCGUCAUUUGUACCCUCAAGCUCUGCUUGGUGUUGGGUGUUUGUCCCCGUCUCCGCGCGUGGACUCGCCCCAAAGUGAUUGGCAGCCGGCGUACUGGUCCCGGAGCGCAGCACAUGUCGCGCAAACGAGUGCCUUGGUACGGCGGCGUCCAUAAGCCCCUCUCUCACGCUCUUGUCCUCGGAUCAGGUAGGGAUACCCGCUGAACUUAAGC
This 310-nucleotide unclassified non-coding RNA is filed under the name plant metagenome. Its description in RNAcentral is "partial contains 5.8S ribosomal RNA, internal transcribed spacer 2, and large subunit ribosomal RNA". The stretch from base 1 to 105 matches the Rfam family "5.8S ribosomal RNA", at positions 50 to 154 of the family's 154-position model. The record is from RNAcentral.